Molecule: long non-coding RNA, 619 nt
Filed under: Vigna radiata
Lineage: Eukaryota; Viridiplantae; Streptophyta; Magnoliopsida; Fabales; Fabaceae
Description: long non-coding RNA (VRAD_LNC011068)
Source: RNAcentral
AUGUUUUGAACUUUUCUCUUCUAGGGUUUCAUGUAUGAACACUCUCAUGGAGAGCUUGACUUGGGUGUCUCGGUUUUGGCCAUUUCAAUGAGCAAGAUGCAGAUUUUCUUCUUCUCUUAACUUACUCUUGGUUGUCUUAGCUUAUUAGUGGUGAAAAACCAUUCAUUUCCACUUCCAUUUGCUUGUUCUUGAUGCUUGGAGUUUGAGUUUUGGAGCUUGUCUUUGCAUUUCCAUGGUGGAUGUUGGUUUUGAGUGACUUUGUAUUUCGUUUUCCUCUCCCUUUGCUGUUGUUCUUCUAGGUUUUCUUUGCAUUUUAUUUGGUUGGAUGAUAAAAAUGGAGUUCUAUGUGAGUUUUGGGUUGAAUAGAGCUUAACUUGAUGUGUGGGUGUUGUGGUUUGGGCUCUUUCUUCUUGAAUUUCGUUUUUCAUGUUUGAAGCAAGGAUGGAACCAGAUUUUGGGGUUGUUAUUGUGGCUGGACAGAGCUGGACUUGAUGGCUAAGAUAUUAUUUUCGUUUUUGCAAAGAAAGUUGAAGAAAUGGAAGAUUUGGUUGGGUUGAAUUAGUAGUAGUGUGGGUUUAUUGUUCUUGAAUGGUGUUGCAACUUGAAAUGGGGUUCCUUG